UACGAAGGGGGCUAGCGUUGCUCGGAAUUACUGGGCGUAAAGCGCGUGUAGGUGGAUUGGUGUGUCAGAUGUGAAAGCCCUGGGCUCAACCCAGGAACUGCACCUGAAACUACCAGUCUUGAGUGGUGGAGAGGGAAGUGGAAUUCCUGGUGUAGAGGUGAAAUUCGUAGAUAUCAGGAGGAACACCAGUGGCGAAGGCGGCUUCCUGGACACUAACUGACGCUGAGACGCGAAAGCGUGGGGAGCAAACAGG
This 253-nucleotide ribosomal RNA is filed under the name uncultured bacterium. Its description in RNAcentral is "partial 16S ribosomal RNA". It matches the Rfam family "Bacterial small subunit ribosomal RNA", at positions 524 to 776 of the family's 1533-position model. The record is from RNAcentral.